Molecule: non-coding RNA, 1807 nt
Organism: Triticum urartu
Lineage: Eukaryota; Viridiplantae; Streptophyta; Magnoliopsida; Poales; Poaceae
Source: RefSeq, a predicted model, not a curated record
GGGCAGAAAACGUAGGCUCCGGCGCUCCGCUGCGGCGCCCGCAGCAUCGAGGGAUCCCCCUUCUUCUUUCUUCCGCCCCGAGAAGGCGAGCCGCCUGUUUCCUCCGCCGGUUUGCCCUCCUCCGCCCUCUCCAUAUAAACCGCCCGUCUCAAACCUCAGGCGCAUCGCACACACCAAAACAAAAGUGAAAAACCACAUCCUCCCUCCCUCCGAGACGCCGCCCGGCCCGACCAAUGGCUCCCAGGAAGUUCUUCGUCGGCGGCAACUGGAAAUGCAACGGGACCGGCGACGACGUGAAGAAGAUCGUCACCUUCCUCAACGAGGCCGAGGUGCCCUCCGAGGACGCCGUCGAGGUGGUGGUGAGCCCGCCGUUCGUGUUCCUGCAGCAGGCAAAGGGGCUGCUGCGGCCCGACUUCGCCGUCGCCGCGCAGAACUGCUGGGUGCGCAAGGGCGGCGCCUUCACCGGCGAGAUCAGUGCUGAGAUGCUGGUGAACCUGCAGGUGCCUUGGGUCAUUUUGGGGCACUCUGAGAGGAGAGCACUGUUGAAUGAAUCAAAUGAUUUCGUUGCUGAUAAAGUGGCUUACGCACUCGCCCAAGGACUCAAGGUAAUUGCUUGCAUUGGUGAAACUCUUGAACAGAGAGAAGCAGGGACGACAAUGGAAGUUGUUUCUGCUCAGACUAAAGCUAUUGCAGAGAAAAUAUCAGACUGGACAAACUUUUUGCUGGCAUAUGAACCAGUGUGGGCCAUUGGAACCGGCAAGGUUGCUUCCCCUGCUCAAGCACAGGAGGUUCAUGAUGGUCUGAGGAAGUGGCUCCACGCUAAUGUUGGUCCUGCAGUUGCUGAAUCUACCAGGAUUAUCUAUGGAGGCUCUGUAAAUGGGGCAAACUGCAAACAGCUUGCAGCUCAACCUGAUCUUGACGGGUUCCUUGUUGGCGGCGCUUCACUCAAGCCCGAGUUUGUGGACAUCAUCAAGUCUGCCACCGUGAAGUCUUCUUCUGCUUAGUUGUUUUUGAGAUGCAUGCAGUUGCUUGUAGGAGUGGAUUCUGCUGGCCCCGCUUGGAAUCAGCUGUUAACUGGCAGGAGGGUUCGGACUAAUCAUGACCAAGCAGGACGGCCACGUCGUCAAGGAGUACUCCGUCGCCGGUUGAACGGGGAAGGGGCGGGGAGGGAUGGCAGAGGAGGAGGAGGAGGGAGGAUACCUUGGUGGAGCAGAGGAGGAUGAGCGAUUCGCCGUCACGGUCAAGUCACGGCUGCCGGCCAACGUCGCCGUCGCGGCCAGGAGCGAGUCGCCGUCACUGUCACGGCCAGGAGCGAGUCGCCGUCGUCGGCGCGCCUAACCCCCGUCGUGGCCACCGUCUUCUGCGCCUCACCACGUCGCCGUCGCGAACGCCGUUGCUUGACCACCUCGUGGACACCAGUGCCGGUGCCUCCCGGCGGCGCAACUCGAUCUAGGUCUCGAGCGAGAGGCGAGGUGGGGAAAAACGACGGCCUCUGGUCUGUAUCGGAUACCGGCCUGAUACGGGUGUAAACGAGAAAACCAGUGUAAAACUUACAGCCCAAAAACGACAUGCCAAGCACCAACGACAGGCCCAUCCGUUUUUAUUUUACGGGGGUAUAUUUUACAGGUGUAUUGGGCCCUAAAACGAGGAACCAAGCGGGGCCUUAUCUUUAUAAGACUGUUUGACCAUCUUGUUCUAAUUCGAGUGCACUGUUAUGUCGCAUUGACCAUCUUAUCUUUAGGGUGAUGCAUGCUUAUGUUUGCUUGUUUUUGUCUGGAACGAUAAUCGGAUUAGUUAUAUGUACCAA